RNAcentral lists this long non-coding RNA (210 nucleotides) under Elaeis guineensis (African oil palm). RNAcentral's name for it is "long non-coding RNA (EGUI_LNC061424)". The record is from RNAcentral. Lineage: Eukaryota; Viridiplantae; Streptophyta; Magnoliopsida; Arecales; Arecaceae.
CCACGUGGGAUCUGCCGUAGAGAGUGGAGCAGAGUCAUGGAGUGAUGGAGCUGCAUGGAGAUCUGCCGCAGGGAAUGGAGCAGAAUCACGGCUGCCACUGCAGCGCACCAGGGGGCGAAGGUCUGUCAGCUGAAGUCCGACUGGAGUGUCUGGCGAGGAGAGGUAGUUAGCCAUCUGUCCAAGAGGAGCUCGGAAUCUGGCUUUCGCAGG